RNAcentral lists this ribosomal RNA (825 nucleotides) under uncultured archaeon. RNAcentral describes it as "bacterial SSU rRNA". It matches the Rfam family "Archaeal small subunit ribosomal RNA", at positions 1 to 825 of the family's 1478-position model. The record is from RNAcentral.
AUGGAUUUUCCGGUUGAUCCCGCCGGAGGUUACUGCCAUCGAGGUUCGACUAAGCCAUGCGAGUCGAAUGUAGCAAUACAUGGCGAACUGCUCAGUAACACGUGGACAACCUGCCCUUAGGUUGGGUAUAAACCCGGGAAACUGGGUAUAAUACCCGAUAGGUCUCGAUUGCUGGAAUGCAUCGAGAUUUAAAGCUCCGGCGCCUAAGGAUGGGUCUGCGGCCUAUCAGGUAGUAGUGGGUGUAGCGUACCUACUAGCCUACGACGGGUACGGGUUGUGAGAGCAAGAGCCCGGAGAUGGAUUCUGAGACACGAAUCCAGGCCCUACGGGGUGCAGCAGGCGCGAAAACUUUACAAUGCUGGCAACAGCGAUAAGGGAACCUCGAGUGCCAGGUUACAAAUCUGGCUGUCGAGAUGCCUAAAAAGCAUUUCAUAGCAAGGGCCGGGCAAGACCGGUGCCAGCCGCCGCGGUAACACCGGCGGCUCGAGCGGUAACCGUUAUUAUUGGGUCUAAAGGGUCUGUAGCCGGCCGGAUAAGUCUCUUGAGAAAUCUGGCAGCUUAACUGUCAGGCUUUCAGGAGAUACUGUCUGGCUCGAGGCCGGGAGAGGUGAGAGGUACUUCAGGGGUAGGGGUGAAAUCUUGUAAUCCUUGAAGGACCACCAGUGGCGAAGGCGUCUCACCAGAACGGACCUGACGGCAAGGGACGAAAGCUAGGGGCACGAACCGGAUUAGAUACCCGGGUAGUCCUAGCCGUAAACGAUACUCGCUAGGUGUCGGCCACGGUGCGACCGUUGUCGGUGCCGUAGGGAAGCCGUGAAGCGAGCC